This is a non-coding RNA of Dallia pectoralis (Alaska blackfish), 80 nucleotides long. Lineage: Eukaryota; Metazoa; Chordata; Actinopteri; Esociformes; Umbridae. The record is from the annotation of a GenBank genome assembly.
GUUGUGGUGGCCCGAGUGGUUAAGAGCGAUGGACUAGAAAUCAUUGGGAUCUUCGCGCAGGUUCAAAUCCUGCGACAACG